Molecule: ribosomal RNA, 209 nt
Filed under: uncultured bacterium
Lineage: Bacteria
Description: partial 16S ribosomal RNA
Rfam family: Bacterial small subunit ribosomal RNA
Source: RNAcentral
AGUUCGGACUGUAGGCUGCAACUCGCUACACGAGUUGGAAUUGCUAGUAAUCGUGGAUCAGCAUGCCACGGUGAAUACGUUCCCGGGUCUUGUACACACCGCCCGUCACACCAUGGGAGCUGGUAACACCCGAAGUCAGUAGUCUAACCGCAAGGAGGACGCUGCCGAAGGUGGGAUUAGCGACUGGGGUGAAGUCGUAACAAGGUACC